Molecule: long non-coding RNA, 1410 nt
Organism: Lemur catta (Ring-tailed lemur)
Lineage: Eukaryota; Metazoa; Chordata; Mammalia; Primates; Lemuridae
Exons: 4
Source: RefSeq, a predicted model, not a curated record
AAAUUUUUUAUUUAUCUUUCAAAUUUCAGAAUAUUACAUAAAAAACAAUGGUGAACUAUGCCAAAACUUUCCACUUUUCCAUCAGACUCUUAAAAAGUGUGUCAGGCAAAAAAAAAAAAAAAAAAAGUUAGGAUCUCAUGGCUGAUGUAAAGGGUUUUCUUCUUGUUCACAUUACAAUACCUUUCCUAUAAGUAACAAGCACUCUAACUUUUGUCUCGGUAUUCAACAGACAGGCACAUAGCAUUGUACGGCCCUGCCAAUGUGCCAGACACUGCUUUAAGUGCAUCACUUAAAACAUUUCAUGCUCACAGGGACUCUCUCUGAUGGAGAUAAUAUAUAUUUACAGAUGAGGAAACUGAGGCACACAAAGGGCAAGUAACUCAGGUCAGAGUUAGCAUACAGUGGAGCCGGGAUUCAAGUCUGGAUAGUCUGCCUUAAAAGUGCCACCUGGUCCCAUCAGCUGACUCUCAUUCCUCAUCACGUUAGGCGGGAGGAUUCCAAAUCAUAUUAUUUUCAACUGUAGAAUCAAGGCUCUUUACGAUUGUUGACAUAACUUACACUGUUACCCCAAAUUUACAUGGGGAAGGAAUUUGAAAGUUCUACAAAAGCGCUUGUAGUGUGUGCGUGUCACUGUUGGCAACUGCCAGUAUCAACACCCUGUACCUGCAUUUAGUCUAUAGUUUUGUGUUUCCAUAAUACAAUCACGCAUUCAAGCAGCUCCCAUACCUCUUUUAAAUCCAACCUUUCCAUUCGACUGGGACGUAUGGACAAUGAUAAUUGCUUCUAAAGUUGAAUAAUGAUCAGAAACUGCUUUAAUAAUACAAACAACAAUCUUUAAAACAUCACUAGGUUUUCUACAAUGUCAUAAUCAUUUUAUGUUGACUCAACAUUUUGAAAGGGGGAAAAAAAGCAUUCUCAAUAAAGUUUUUACUUUUCCCUAGGCUUUGAAAGAAUGAUAGGAUUGUCAAUGGGCUUCUUUAAAUAGAACAUUUUGUCAUUUCCACGUCAAAAGAUUAACUUAAAGGAGCUGUUAACACUUGCCAUGGGCUGGGGUGGGAACAGGAGUAGCCAGGCAGCACUUGCUUUUAGGCCCCUAGCGGCUGCCUUACCUCUACUUGCUUUCACCUUCCAACUGCCUGGAGAAUAAGAAGUGCCUUACUGCCUUGGGUAAAAGAGGCUUCAUUGACAAAACACAACUGAAAAGGAAAGGGAAAAGAGGUAUAUUUUAAGGCAUAACGAGUCCUACAUGCCUUAGGACCGUAUCAAGAUUCCUUAAGUAAAUGAAAAUGGGAGCUCCUCAGACUGAAGGCUGCCAACAGUGAGAUUCUCUGCCCACGGCUGUGGAUCAUCUGAAUUUUAGAAUUCUAAGUUCCUAGAGGGAAAGACUGCCUGCUGAUUUUUCAAGUCACA